ACUCCUACGGGAGGCAGCAGUGGGAAUAUUGGACAAUGGGAACCGUAGCAUCAGCCAUGCCGCGCUGUGUGAAGAAGGCCUUCGGGUUGUAAAGCACUUUCAGUGGGGAGGAAAGGUUGAUGGUUAAUACCUAUCAGCUGUGACGUUACCCACAGAAGAAGCACCGGCUAACUCCGUGCCAGCAGCCGCGGUAAUACGGAGGGUGCAAGCGUUAAUCGGAAUUACUGGGCGUAAAGCGUGCGCAGGCGGUCUGUUAAGCGAGAUGUGAAAGCCCGGC
RNAcentral lists this ribosomal RNA (277 nucleotides) under uncultured bacterium. RNAcentral describes it as "partial 16S ribosomal RNA". It matches the Rfam family "Bacterial small subunit ribosomal RNA", at positions 335 to 606 of the family's 1533-position model. The record is from RNAcentral.